AUUGAACGCUGGCGGCAGGCCUAACACAUGCAAGUCGAACGGUAACAGGAAACAGCUUGCUGUUUCGCUGACGAGUGGCGGACGGGUGAGUAAUGUCUGGGAAACUGCCUGAUGGAGGGGGAUAACUACUGGAAACGGUAGCUAAUACCGCAUAACGUCGCAAGACCAAAGAGGGGGACCCUCGGGCCUCUUGCCAUCGGAUGUGCCCAGAUGGGAUUAGCUUGUUAGUGGGGUAACGGCUCACCAAGGCGACGAUCCCUAGCUGGUCUGAGAGGAUGACCAGCCACACUGGAACUGAGACACGGUCCAGACUCCUACGGGAGGCAGCAGUGGGGAAUAUUGCACAAUGGGCGCAAGCCUGAUGCAGCCAUGCCGCGUGUAUGAAGAAGGCCUUCGGGUUGUAAAGUACUUUCAGCGGGGAGGAAGGGAGUAAAGUUAAUACCUUUGCUCAUUGACGUUACCCGCAGAAGAAGCACCGGCUAACUCCGUG
Molecule: ribosomal RNA, 490 nt
Filed under: uncultured bacterium
Lineage: Bacteria
Description: partial 16S ribosomal RNA
Rfam family: Bacterial small subunit ribosomal RNA
Source: RNAcentral